UUGGCCUUGAAGUCGCAAAGUGGAAAGUUUCGCUCCAUCGGGCUCCCGUCGCGGCCCGGCGACUGGUGAUUAUCUACUUUUUACAGAUGAUGAGACUAAUGCAGUUUGAGGUUGCGGAGCGAAUUAUGAGCAGACACAAGAUUCGUACCUGGGAUCUCUGAUUUUCCUGGCAUGUCAUCUGCCGUUAUGGGUUGGCUUCUGUAUUUAAAAAUUCAGCUUUGAAAAAAAUGACACAAGCAAUGCUCAGAUUUAUCAACAGGACUCCUACCAUCAGCACCAGUGUUUACUCCUCCACGAGGCCUUUGCUGCCGGAUCCCGACUCUUCGCUGGACCCAAUGACUUCCGUGCCCCAAUGGCUGGCAGGAUAAAGGACCAUAGGGCUUCUUGGGACAGAACAGCCCGGUUUUGAAGAGGUCUGCACUAAAUGUGAGAUCAGCAGGGGUCUGGACCCUUCCCUUCAUGACCUUCCUGAAUUUUACCCAAAUUUCAAUGUAUUUUGGCAGCUCACCGGAGUUAGCCGUUUAUUAUUGUGCUUCCACAAAGUUGCAUUAGAAGUUGGAGGGUCCCCCCGCCCCCCAUUUGAGAUUCUUUUUGUUUCAUUUGGCCCUAGCGAGGGAGGUUUAGUGGGAAUGUGUUCACAUUUCCUCAUCAUUGAGAAGUCUAUCUCAUUCUUCUUAAAAAUAGUAUUUCAUAAUAUGAUUGUAUUUUACUUUUUAAGCAUUCCUCUAAUGAAAGUGAUUAAGGUUUCUUUCCCCCUAAUUAUUUGCUCUUACAAAUAAUGCUGCAAUAAAUAUCACUGUUCAUUGGCCGUGGCUGGGUAGCUCAGUUGUCCAUACCCCAAGGUUGCAGGUUCCAUCCCAGAUCAGGGCACAAACAUGACUCAACCAAUGAGUGCAGAAACGAGUGGAACAAUAAAUAAAUGUUUCUCUUUCUCUCCCUUCAUCUCUCUCUAAAAUUAAUACAU
Myotis brandtii (Brandt's bat) is the source of this 964-nucleotide long non-coding RNA. RefSeq lists it as uncharacterized. The transcript is spliced from 2 exons. NCBI's taxonomy places the organism in Eukaryota, Metazoa, Chordata, Mammalia, Chiroptera, Vespertilionidae. The record is from RefSeq and is a predicted model, not a curated record.